Long non-coding RNA from Ictalurus punctatus (channel catfish), 2328 nucleotides. NCBI's taxonomy places the organism in Eukaryota, Metazoa, Chordata, Actinopteri, Siluriformes, Ictaluridae. The record is from Ensembl.
GGGGUUUUAGGAGUCUGUGGAGUUUCUGCUAUCAGCAUAGAAACAUCAGCACCUCUUUUACGCCCCCUGCUGCUGCUUUGGCUCAUAACACUGUCCUCAGCAUCAGCCAUAACCUCAGCCUCCUCCUUCUCUGGCUCACCUGCCGCCUCCGCUUUAACGUCAUUUGACCCAGGACAUUUCCCACCUCUUCCUCUUCCUCUCCCUCUUCCUCUCCACACAGGUGCUGACUGUUCUCCCUCCUCCGGCUCUUCUGCUUUCACACUCUUCCUCCCGUUCCUCCCCCUGCCUCGGUUCUGAGUGGCCACACUGCUGCUGGAUCCGUCAGAGCUCCUGGAGUUGGAGCGAGAGUGAGCAGCCUGCUUUACGUCCUCCUUCUCAGUAGAGGGCGCUGUGGUAGUUCUUCUUCUGCCUGAUGGCCUGCCUGUCUCAUUCACUUCUUCAACAGCUUUCCUCCUUCCCCCCCUUCUUCUUCCUUCGGUCAGGCUAUCCUGAGUGGACUGCUCUGAACACACAGAGUUAGAGGAGUUGGAGCGCGAGCGAGUUCUUUUAGCUGGACCGCCUUCGUCCUCCACACCAGCAGGCGGCGCAACAGAUUUCCUGGCAGCGCGUCUGCCUCGUCUGGGUUUCGCUUCACUCUCGGCUUGUUCAUCCUCUUGCUUUUUACUGCUCCCUUCUUCACAUUCUUGUUUUUGUAGCUCACUUAAUUCUUGUUCAGAGUCCAGUCUUUCUUUAGUUCCUUCUUCUAAUCCUUGAUCCUCCUCUUUCUUGCUUUUCCCUCCCUUUCUUUCUAGCCCCGCUUUCCGUUUCCUGGUGCUGGUCUCUUUUCUUUUCCCACACCCUCUUUAUUGUCUUUACUCUCUUUUUCCUUCUCCUUUUGUUCCAUUUCUUUUUCUUGUUUUUCCUUCUCUUCCCUCGUUUCUUUCUCUAGCUGUUCUUUCUCUUCUCUAUCCUUUUUUUCUCUUGCUAAUCGGUCCAUUUCUUCUUGUUUUUCCUUUCUUUUUCAAGCGUUUGCUCAAGCGCUUGUCUUUCCCUCAUCUCCUUUUCUUCCUUUUCCUUAUUUUCUCCAUCAAUCCUCUCGUGUUCUACCCUGUCUUUUUCUUCUUGUUCUCUCCUUUCUUUUUCCGGCUGCUUCUUCCUUUCCAAACUUUCCAUCUCUUUCUCUUCUCUUUCCUUCUUUUCGCUCUCCGUUCUCGCUCUCUCCAGUUCACGUUCUUCCCUCUCUUCCCCCUCCUUCCUCUCUCUUUCUAGCCGAUCUUCUUCUUCCUUCUUCCCCCUCUGCAGUCUCUCACUUUCCUCCUCUUUCUCUUGCGUUUUUAAAUGCUCUAUUUCUUCAUGAUCAGCUUCCACUAGCUCGAGUCUGGCCUCGGCAUCAUCUUUGGAUUUCUGCCUCGUCCUCUUUCGUCCUCUUCCUUUGUUCCCUUGAUCUACCUCUUCUUCACUGUCCAACUCUUGCACUACUGUCACUCGCUUCCCUCUCUUCUCUUUCUCUGCCGUAGCUCUUCCUCUGCCUUUACCCUUGCCAGAUGCUGCUGUUGCUGUUUCUUUUCCUCUCAGGCUCCUCCGACAGUCUUGCUCUUCCUCCUGUCCAUCCAUCUUCAUUGUUUCAGCAGAAGAAUCGGGAUCGAGAGGUUGUGUGGGCUCAACUUUAGAAGUCAGCCUUCCUCUGCCGGAUUUUCUACCAGAUUUGGCUUCACUCUGUGGCAUUUCCUCCCGUUCUUCCUCUUCUUCACACAUCGGUAGGGUUUCAAGAAUGGCGACACGAGACUCGACAGGUUUUGCUGGCUUCGCCUUAGCGUUACGUCUCCUCAUACUGGAUCUCUUGGUAGAUAUGGCUUCACUCUGUUGCUCUUCUUCCUGUUCCUCCUUAUCCUCCUCACACAUAGGCUGCGUUUCAGCAACGGUCACACUGGUGACUUUGUCAGACUCGACAGGCUCAACUUUAGCAGCCCGUCUCCCUCUACCAGGUCUUCUGCUACUCUUAGGUUUAUUCUCAUCUUCCUCCUGUCCUUCGUCUUCAUCACACAUAGGCAGUGUUUCAGCAAUAGCAACAUGAGCAUGAUCAGGAUGUGUUCGCGCUUCAUCUACUUUAUCGUCAUUUUCUACUCUAUUCUCGUCCCUUUCCUUCUUCUCCUCUUCUGGCCCGUCACUAGUCACUUCAUUCUUCUUUUCCGUCACCGUUCCGUCAUUUUCUUUUCUUUUCUCCGCAUCAUUCUCUUGUCCCACGCUUUCAUUCACUGCAUCUCGAGCCCUUUCUUCCUCAUCCGUCUCUUGUACCUCUUGAUCUUUGUUCUCAUGCUCCUCUUUCUCCGUCUCCUCCUGUUCUUUCUG